GACCGUUGUUUACCUUGUGUGUUGCUGCAACCUUCGCAAGUCCACCUCCAUUUGUCGUGAAUCCCCGUUUCUGAGCGUUGAUUUUCCCUUCUUGGUGCCUUGUGGAUUUUUUCACGAGCCGCAAGGCAGGCCAUGGUUUCAUCGAACAGCCGGGAGUGGAGCGGGAUGCUGAAGGAUAGCGGCGCUCACUUCAGUGAGCCCAGCUUGAACCCCACCAUUGGCGUCCUGGGCACCACUCUGAAUAAGCUGCUUCAGUUGUGACUUGUAGCACAAAGUUUCUGUCGCCCAGUUCAUCGUCAUCUCUGAACCAAAGGCAUUGGUCCUGCCUGCUAGUCACCACUUGAAUAAAAGUUGGAAUGGUGCAGUGUGUUUGUGUAAAUAAACUGUUGAAGCUUUGA
RNAcentral lists this long non-coding RNA (398 nucleotides) under Ixodes scapularis (black-legged tick). Its description in RNAcentral is "uncharacterized LOC115317668, transcript variant X3". The record is from RNAcentral. Lineage: Eukaryota; Metazoa; Arthropoda; Arachnida; Ixodida; Ixodidae.